GGCAGGUCUGAAGGUAAUGAGUUAUCUCACUGGAUUGUUCACAGUCAGUUACAGAUUGAACUCCUUGUUCUACUACUUUCCCCCCUUCUCACUACUACACUUGACUAGUCAAAA
Microcebus murinus (gray mouse lemur) is the source of this 114-nucleotide unclassified non-coding RNA. It matches the Rfam family "Y RNA". Rfam says of the family: Y RNAs are components of the Ro ribonucleoprotein particle (Ro RNP), in association with Ro60 and La proteins. The Y RNAs and Ro60 and La proteins are well conserved, but the function of the Ro RNP is not known. Lineage: Eukaryota; Metazoa; Chordata; Mammalia; Primates; Cheirogaleidae. The record is from Ensembl.